GGGCCUAUAGCUUAGUUUGGUGGAGCUCCCGGCUCAUAACCGGGCGGUCAGGGGUUCAAAUCCCCUUAGGCCCA
RNAcentral lists this transfer RNA (74 nucleotides) under archaeon. Its description in RNAcentral is "tRNA-Met". It matches the Rfam family "tRNA". From Rfam's summary of the family: Transfer RNA (tRNA) molecules are approximately 80 nucleotides in length. Their secondary structure includes four short double-helical elements and three loops (D, anti-codon, and T loops). RNAcentral also lists the same sequence under 1 other name. The record is from RNAcentral.